CUACGGGCGGCUGCAGUGGGGAAUAUUGGGCAAUGGGCGCAAGCCUGACCCAGCAGCGCCGCGUGAGGGAUGAAGGUUUUCGGAUCGUAAACCUCUGUCAGGAGGGAAGAAGUGGGCAUGGUUUAAUACAUCAUGCCUUUGACGGUACCUCCAGAGGAAGCACCGGCUAACUCCGUGCCAGCAGCCGCGGUAAUACGGAGGGUGCGAGCGUUAUUCGGAAUUACUGGGCGUAAAGCGCGCGUAGGCGGCAAGGUAAGUCAGAUGUGAAAGCCCACGGCCCAACCGUGGAACUGCAUUUGAAACUGCUUAGCUGGAGUACGGGAGAGGAUAGCGGAAUUCCCGGUGUAGGAGUGAAAUCCGUAGAUAUCGGGAGGAACACCAGUGGCGAAGGCGGCUAUCUGGCCCGUAACUGACGCUGAGGUGCGAAAGCGUGGGGAGCAAACAGGAUUAGAUACCCUUGUAGUC
This 465-nucleotide ribosomal RNA is filed under the name uncultured bacterium. RNAcentral's name for it is "partial 16S ribosomal RNA". It matches the Rfam family "Bacterial small subunit ribosomal RNA", at positions 339 to 795 of the family's 1533-position model. The record is from RNAcentral.